Solanum lycopersicum (tomato) is the source of this 774-nucleotide long non-coding RNA. RefSeq lists it as uncharacterized. Lineage: Eukaryota; Viridiplantae; Streptophyta; Magnoliopsida; Solanales; Solanaceae. The record is from RefSeq and is a predicted model, not a curated record.
UAACAAAUAUUCACAUCACUUUCUAUAUAUUGUUAUCUAUCUCUCACUCCAUUUUCUUCAAAUAACAACCACACAAUAUGAAGAUACUUCCCUAUUUUCUUCUUGUCAUUUUUCUACUUAAAAUAACAAUUUCUGUUGAGUCCCAAACUCCAGCACUCUUAAAAUAUGUACUUCAAUGACCACCUACUUUUUGUUUUCAACUUAAUUCCAAAGAAGCAAAAUUUUGCAAAGAACCAAUUCCUCAAAAUAAAUUCACACUCCAUGGUGUUAUGCAAGCAAAUGAAGAUGGAUUUAACAUAAAAUGUGACUAUAACAAAGAUCCAAAUGAUUUGGAUAAUGUGUUGUAAGAAGUGGAAAGUGAUCUAGUAAAGUUCUGGCCCUCGCUUAGAGAAGAGUUAUGGAAGCAUGAGUGGCGCGUCCAUGGAUCAUGUGGAGGAACAACACCUCAAGAGUACUUCUACAAAGCAAUAAUGAUGAAUCACACACCUGAAAAAGGAAACUUGUAUAAUUACUUGGAAUCAAGUGAGAUUAUUGCAAGUGAUGACUUGGCUUAUACAAAACAACAUAUUGUUGAGGCUAUACAAAAGUUGGUUUUAUGAAGUUCCUUUUGUAGAUCAUAAACCACAUUAUAAUGUUUACCUCUCUUGUGUUCCAAUUGAUUCAUAUAACAAUACUCAUGUUUACUUGAGUGAGUUUGCUUGGUGCACUGAACUUGAAGGUGUUCAAUACAUUUCAUGUCCAUCAAAACCUAAUCCAACAAGUUGCCCUAAUGAA